Molecule: long non-coding RNA, 4002 nt
Filed under: Salmo salar (Atlantic salmon)
Lineage: Eukaryota; Metazoa; Chordata; Actinopteri; Salmoniformes; Salmonidae
Description: lncRNA (ENSSSAG00000091852.1)
Source: RNAcentral
CCAGUGGUGGCUAGCGACAUGGUGCUCAACCCUACUGGAACCCAGUGGAUGUUUGUUUCAGAUAUCUCUAUUCAUAUUUAAAAGAUGUACACUCAUGUAAAUAUGAAAACAAAAAUAGCUAUAAUUUAGGAGCUGUACAACUCCUUUUUUAAACAGACUGGGGACGUCAUUUUGUAUGGCGUGUGUGUGUGUGUGUGUGUGUGCGUGUGCGCGUGCGUGUGUGUGUGUGUGUGUGAAAUCUCUGAUUACUGUUCACUCAUCUGUGGAUCUGUGCCAUGAGGAAACUUCAUCUAGACAAUACAUUUCAGCAUACAUUGUUGCUGCUUAAGAUAUUUUGGUAAUGAUGUAUGAUACUUGUGUAUAAUAACUUGUAUAAUAAUUCUAUGCAAAUGUUUCUUUUACGUUAUAAAGAGGUGAGCGAGUGUGCAAAGGUGAUUGUGUGUUUGCGUGUGUGUGUGUGUGUGUGUGUGUGUGUAAAUCAUCAGAUCCAUCUCUCAAGAAACAGGCUAACGAUCACGUCAUGUGAAGCGUUACACAAUAACUACACGGAGAUUGUGUGUGUGUGUGUGUGUGUACGUGCGUGUGUGUAUGUUUGUGUAUAAAGGUACGCUUUUUUUUUUUAACGGUUAAUUUGCUUAUCACAAACCUGUGGUAGUUAUGAAACAAUUACUGUUGAACUCUGACUCACGCUAUGCGUGCUAUUUAAGACGAGCAGAUUAUGAAGAAGAUAUACAGCUGUGUUGUUUGUGACUGUCCCUCCGUAGUAGCGUCCGCAUCGUCUCUGCUCUGAGCUCUUGUGUUGCUGUCUGGUUGCCUGGGGGAUUGUUUUACUGUAAAAGGCCAUGCGUGCCUUGGCUGUCCCUCGGACUCAAUUACCCAUCUCCCCUUUUCUCUGGUGAUGUCAUAGCUCUCGGCAGCCAUCUUGUAGUAGCAUGAGUGGGCGUAAAAGUAUCACUCCCGUUGCUAAUGAAUAUUACAGUUGGAGUACAAAACCCAUGGUGGCUAGUCAAAGCCAUUAUGGAGGAUGUUUUUGUGUUGUUUUUUUGUUUUGUUUCUCGUGAAUGUAACUUCUGUUAUUCUAACUGUAAAUAUACUGUACUUGUCAAAAGUUUGGACACACCUACUUAUUCAAGGUUUUUCUUUAUUUGUACUAUUUUCUACAUUGUAGAAAAAUAGGAAUACAUCCAAACUAUGAAAUAACACAUAUGGAAUCACGUAGUAACUCAAAAAGUGUUAAACAAAUCAAAAUAUAUUUUAUAUUUGAGAUUCUUCAAAGUAGCCACCCUUUGCCCUGAUGACAGCUUUUCACACGCUUGGCAUUCUCUCAACCAGCUUCACCUGGAAUGCUUUUCUAACAGUCUUGAAGGAGUUCCUACAUAUGCUGAGCACUUGUAGGCUGCUUUUCCUUCACUCUGCGGUCCAACUCAUCCCAAACCAUCUCAAUUGGGUUUAGGUUGGGUGAUUGUAGAAGCCAGGUCAUCUGAUGCAGCACUCCAUCACUCUCCUUGGUCAAAUAACCCUUACACAGCCUGGAGGUGUGUCAGGUCAUUGUCCUGUUGAAAAACAAAUGAGAGUCCCACUAAGCGCAAACCAGAUGGGAUGGCGUAUCGCUGCAGAAUGCUGUGGUAGCCAUGCUGGCUGGUUAAGUGUGCCUUGAAUUCUAAAUGAAUCACUGACAGUGUCACCAGCAAAGCACACCCACACCAUCACACCUCCUCCUCCAUGCUUCACGGUGGGAACCACACAUGUAGAUAUAAUCCAUUCACAUACUCUGCGUCUCACAAAGACAGUGCGGUUAGAACCAAAAAUGUCCAAUUUGGACUCAUCAGACCAAAGGACAGAUUACCACCGGUCUAAUGUCCAUUGCUCGUGUUUCCUGGCCCAAGCAAGUCUCUUCUUCUUAUUGGUGUCCUUUAGUAGUGGUUUCUUUGCAGCAAUUUGACCAUGAAUGCCUGAUUCACGCAGUCUCCUCUGAACAGUUGAUGUUGAGUUGUUUGUGUUACUUGAACUCUGUGAAGCAUUUAUUUGGGCUGCAAUUUCUGAGGCUGGUAACUUUAACUUAUUAACUUAUUCUCUGCAGCAGAGGUAGCUCUGGGUCUUCCUUUCCUGGUUUUUGUGACUGCACUUGAAGAAACUUUCAAAGGUCUUGAAAUUUUACGAAUUGACCCGACCUUCAUGUCUAAGUAAUGAUGGACUUUUGUUUCUCUUUGCUUAUUGGAGCUGUUCUUCCCGUAAUAUGGACUUGGUCUUAUACCAAAUAGGGCUGUCCUCUGUAUACCACCCCUACCUUGUCACAACACAACUGAUUGGUUCAAACGCAUUAAGAAGGAAAGAAAUUCCACAAAUUAACUUUUAAGAAGGCACACCUGUUAAUUGAAAUGCAAAAGGUGGCUACUUUGAAGAAUCAAAGAUAUAAAAUAUAUUCAGAUUUGUUUAACAGUUUUUUGGUUACUACAUGAUUCCAUAUGUGUUAAUUUCAUAGUUUGUUUUGAUGACUUCUACAAUGUAGAAAAUAGUCAAAAUAAAGAAAAACAUUUGAAUGAUUAGGUGUUUCCAAACCUUUGACUGGUACUGUACAUAUUACCUCUAGUGAUAAGCUACACCUAGGAUACUACCCUACUCAGCCUGACACUGCAUUACACGUUUCAUUCACAACAAAGUCUUACUCUCUCUCCAUCCCCCUCUUUCUUCCUCUUCAUCCAAUAAGCUACCCGUCCAGAGAGCUAAAGGGUUAAGCACUAUCUGGUCUAACAAAACGUGGGGGGUGUGUGUGUGUGUGUGUGUGUGUGUGUGUGUGUGUGUGUGUGUGUGUGUGUGCGUGUGUGUGUCUGUCCGUGUGUCCGUCUUCCUCUCUCUCUGUCCUCCUCAGUGACAGCAAAGACAACUGGCCCCAAUUUAGCCCAGCCAUCCCUACUGACCUCACCUCGUAAAAAUCCACAACAUAACGCCAUGACACUAAUUGGAACCCCCCCCCCCCCUCACGAUCAGCCCGGUGUGUGUGUGUGUGUGUGUCAGUCGCGUCUUGUGUAGCUCCCCCAUACACCACCCACCCUCCCACUCACACACAUAUCCCGACCCCCCCUAACCUUCCAUACACACAGACUUCCUGUCCAACACGUGUAGCUACGUGUGUCAUUUUCUCCCAGAAGUCUUAACUGUGUCGUUAGUAUCCCCCUCCAUUGUCCAUAUGUCCUGUCAGCUGCUUGUGUGAAAUUCUUUUUUUUAAUUUGUGGGUUUAUUUCUUUUUGUUUUCUCCUGAUGUCACAUUGGCAGUAAUGGAGAGAAAUCAUGGCGGGCAACUAUUUUCUUCAUUUUUGAAAUGUUUGGGGGUUUUUUCGACGUUGGAUUUGCGAUAUUUAUAUUUUUGUAUUAUAAGAUGUUUUUUUGUUUUUGUUUUCUUUCGUUAUUGGUCAUCAAUGCCAGUGGAUAACAAAUGCAGGGAUUUUUAUGUCUAUUGAAAAACACUAUUACAGUGAUUGUUUUGACAUGAAUGGUGUUUGAUCUGUAUAAAGUGCUUACUAAUGUUAAAUAGGAGGAACAAAAGACUAUAUAGCAUUUACACUACAAGACUCACCAUAGCUCUUAGAGGAUUUUAAAAGGAAGGAAAAUCAAUGGUUUUCUGCAGACUUCCAUUUGGUCUUCGUUGGCGAGGAUAUAUAUUGUUUCAGUUACAAAGAUAAAUGUAUGCCAUAUAAUUUAUUUAUAUGAAAAUUUAUUUUUGUAGUAUACAUAGUAGUUGUCAAGUUAUUUGACGGAAGUAUAUUUUUAAAGAGUUUAUAUGUAAUGAUACCGUAACAGAGGAAAUCCUAAGGUGGACUCUUUCACUGAUGACAUUGACAGUCAGUAUUAUCUAUCACAGGGGAGAGAAAACUCAGCAAGCUGUUUCUAUGGGUUUGUCAAAUGCUGGCCAUGAAAGUAGAAGUUGUACUAGCUCUCUAAAUAUUAAUGUUCAAACACUGAUAGAAUUCUAACAAAUAAAAAUAUUAUAACUUAUUUGUCUCU